RNAcentral lists this non-coding RNA (345 nucleotides) under Streptomyces afghaniensis 772. Its description in RNAcentral is "Bacterial small subunit ribosomal RNA". It matches the Rfam family "Bacterial small subunit ribosomal RNA", at positions 957 to 1297 of the family's 1533-position model. The record is from Rfam by way of RNAcentral. Lineage: Bacteria; Bacillati; Actinomycetota; Actinomycetes; Kitasatosporales; Streptomycetaceae.
CAACGCGAAGAACCUUACCAAGGCUUGACAUACACCGGAAAACCCUGGAGACAGGGUCCCCCUUGUGGUCGGUGUACAGGUGGCGCAUGGCUGUCGUCAGCUCGUGUCGUGAGAUGUUGGGUUAAGUCCCGCAACGAGCGCAACCCUUGUCCCGUGUUGCCAGCAGGCCCUUGUGGUGCUGGGGACUCACGGGAGACCGCCGGGGUCAACUCGGAGGAAGGUGGGACGACGUCAAGUCAUCAUGCCCCUUAUGUCUUGGGCUGCACACGUGCUACAAUGGCCGGUACAACUGAGCUGCGAUACGCGAGGUGGAGCGAAUCUACAAAAAGCCGGUCUCAGUUCGGA